UUUUAAUAUCACCUUUUAGACAAAAUAACAAUUUCCAAGUCUGUUUUCUAUUUGAUUUAUUUGAUGUAUUUCCGACCUCGUUCUAGGGUAAUAAAAUUUUCUGC
Bradysia coprophila is the source of this 104-nucleotide long non-coding RNA. The record is from RefSeq and is a predicted model, not a curated record. NCBI's taxonomy places the organism in Eukaryota, Metazoa, Arthropoda, Insecta, Diptera, Sciaridae.